ACGACGUAACGGAAUACUGCACGCCUAUAUUGUCCGAGCAAUAUUCGAAGUAAGCUUCACCCACUUAAAUAUCAAGGGGCAAACAACAAAAAGAAGUCUUCUAUCGCCUCUUUCUUUGGGCCGCCCACCUUUCAACCCGGCUAACUGAAACUACGGUCCGUUGCAAUGGUAACGGGGGCGAUUUUUGGCUACAACUCCACCGCAUCAUCAUAUUCUAGGCGUAGCUGGCUACCAGGCGGCCAGUUAGUUGGCUCAGACUGCCUCUUAGGUCAUCUGUUCGUUCGCUUGGUGCCUGUCGCUUAUUACCGUUACCACCGCUAUGCCAGCGGUAUGAUAAGUAGUCGUUGUUGCUAUCGUCGUUGCCGUAGGUCAAGUUUCAUCGCAGGCUCUAGCAGGUUUACUUUACACAAACAAGGCAGGUUGAGAGUGCAGAGGCACGAUCUUCUUUUGUGGGCCAGAAAAAAGAAAUAGAAAGAACGCGGCUAGGACCUUCUGCUGGCCAUCAGAAAAAAA
This is a long non-coding RNA of Varroa destructor (honeybee mite), 513 nucleotides long. RefSeq lists it as uncharacterized. The record is from RefSeq and is a predicted model, not a curated record. NCBI's taxonomy places the organism in Eukaryota, Metazoa, Arthropoda, Arachnida, Mesostigmata, Varroidae.